CACGAAGUUAGCCGGGGCUUCUUCUCCGACUACAGUCAUUAUCUUCAUCGGUGAAAGAGCUUUACAACCCUAGGGCCUUCAUCACUCACGCGGCAUGGCUGGAUCAGGCCUGCGCCCAUUGUCCAAUAUUCCCCACUGCUGCCUCCCGUAGGAGUUUGGGCCGUGUCUCAGUCCCAAUGUGGCUGAUCAUCCUCUCAGACCAGCUAUGGAUCGUCGCCUUGGUAGGCCUUUACCCCACCAACUAGCUAAUCCAACGCGGGCUCAUCCAUCUCCGAUAAAUCUUUCCCCAAAAGGGCGUAUACGGUAUUAGCACAAGUUUCCCUGAGUUAUUCCGUAGAGAUGGGUAGAUUCCCAGCGUUACUCACCCGUCUGCCACUCCCCUUGCGGGCGUUCGACUUGCAUGUGUUAAGCCUGCCGCCAGCGUUCGUUCUGUGCCAGGAUCAAACUCU
RNAcentral lists this ribosomal RNA (449 nucleotides) under uncultured Pseudomonadota bacterium. RNAcentral describes it as "uncultured proteobacterium partial 16S ribosomal RNA". Lineage: Bacteria; Pseudomonadati; Pseudomonadota. The record is from RNAcentral.